RNAcentral lists this ribosomal RNA (894 nucleotides) under uncultured archaeon. RNAcentral's name for it is "bacterial SSU rRNA". It matches the Rfam family "Archaeal small subunit ribosomal RNA", at positions 23 to 922 of the family's 1478-position model. The record is from RNAcentral.
GCCACGGCUAUUGGGAUCCGACUAAGCCAUGCGAGUCGAGAGGGUUCGGCCCUCGGCAGACUGCUCAGUAACACGUGGAUAAUCUACCCUUAGGUGGAGGAUACUCUCGGGAAACUGAGAAUAAUACUCCAUAGGUCUAGGAUGCUGGAAUGCACCUAGAUUGAAAGUUCCGGCGCCUAAGGAUGAGUCUGCGGACUAUCAGGUAGUAGUCAGGGUAAAGACCUGACUAGCCUACGACGGAUACGGGUUGUGAGAGCAAUAGCCCGGAGACGAUAUCUGAGACACGAUAUCGGGCCCUACGGGGCGCAGCAGGCGCGAAAUCUUCACAAUGUGCGAAAGCACGAUGAGGGGAUCCCAAGUGUUGGUUCGUAAGAGUCAUCUGUUUCUUUGUCUAAAAAACAGAGAGAGUAAGAGCUGGGUAAGACGGGUGCCAGCCGCCGCGGUAAUACCUGCAGCUCAAGCGGUGGCCGCUAUUAUUGGGCCUAAAACGUCCGUAGCCGGUUUAGUAAAUGCCUGGGUAAAUUGUGUAGCUCAACUAUACGAAUACCGGGUAGACUGCUAAACUUGGAACCGGGAGAGGCUAGAGGUACUCCUAGGGUAGAGGUGAAAUCCUGUAAUCCUAGGGGGACCACCAGUGGCGAAGGCGUCUAGCUAGAACGGAUUUGACGGUGAGGGACGAAGCCCUGGGGCGCAAACCGGAUUAGAUACCCGGGUAGUCCAGGGUGUAAACGCUGCUCGCUUGAUGUUAGUCGGGCUCCGAGCCCAACUAGUGUCGGAGAGAAGUUGUUAAGCGAGCUGCCUGGGAAGUACGGUCGCAAGGCUGAAACUUAAAGGAAUUGGCGGGGGAGCACAGCAACGGGUGGAGCGUGCGGUUUAAUUGGAUUCAACGCCGGA